RNAcentral lists this ribosomal RNA (427 nucleotides) under uncultured beta proteobacterium. Its description in RNAcentral is "partial 16S ribosomal RNA". It matches the Rfam family "Bacterial small subunit ribosomal RNA", at positions 355 to 774 of the family's 1533-position model. Lineage: Bacteria; Pseudomonadati; Pseudomonadota; Betaproteobacteria. The record is from RNAcentral.
UGGGGAAUUUUGGACAAUGGGCGCAAGCCUGAUCCAGCCAUGCCGCGUGAGUGAAGAAGGCCUUCGGGUUGUAAAGCUCUUUCGGACAGAAAGAAAACCUAUCCGCUAAUACCGGAUAGGGAUGACGGUACUGUAAGAAGAAGCACCGGCUAACUACGUGCCAGCAGCCGCGGUAAUACGUAGGGUGCGAGCGUUAAUCGGAAUUACUGGGCGUAAAGCGUGCGCAGGCGGUUUCGUAAGACAGAUGUGAAAUCCCCGGGCUCAACCUGGGAACUGCAUUUGUGACUGCGAGGCUAGAGUGUAGCAGAGGGGGGUAGAAUUCCACGUGUAGCAGUGAAAUGCGUAGAGAUGUGGAGGAAUACCGAUGGCGAAGGCAGCCCCCUGGGCUAACACUGACGCUCAUGCACGAAAGCGUGGGGAGCAAACA